RNAcentral lists this unclassified non-coding RNA (344 nucleotides) under uncultured Blastocladiomycota. RNAcentral describes it as "sequence contains ITS1". Lineage: Eukaryota; Fungi; Blastocladiomycota. The record is from RNAcentral.
CAUUGCGAAAAGUCAUGCGACCUGCACUUUUUGAGAAGCAUUACUCUUUGAACGCACCUUGCGCGUGGAAGACACCUUUCACGAGGUCCUGUUUGAGCAAGAAUAAAAAAAAGCAAUACCUGGCCGUUUUAGUAGUAAGAUGGCUUAAAAAUAUGCAGAUGGCCCGAACGACUCUAGGGCGAGUGAGAAGGAGUGGGAGGGAUAUUGCGUUCAAGCAUCACAAUGUCAUUCACACGGGAUUUUCACCAUUUCACUGGCUGAUUGAAGAUGGAUGCUAAACCAUGCAACUUCAACUAACCCUUACUUUUCUUCUCAAAUCAGGAUAGAGGACCCGCUGAACUUAA